CCGAAAUCGAUGUAGUGGAUCUCGAGGGCAGAGGUGAUCGAGCUCAAUGAGGAGGAAGUGAUUUAAGGGUGAGGAUGAUGGUGGUGACGUAAGGGAAUGGUGGACGAAGAAGGUUGAGAUCUUAUCCAAAAGGAGCUCUAAGCUAUUUGAGGCUCAUAGGUAGAGCUAGAAUUGGAUCAGGUUGGGUUGAGUUUCUAUACAAGUUAGGCCUAGCUCCAAAAAAAAAAUUUGGCUUCAAGCUAUGCUAAGGUCCAAAAAUUUUUGCAAAAUUUUAGCAUAAGCCCAAAUU
This 289-nucleotide long non-coding RNA is filed under the name Phoenix dactylifera (date palm). RNAcentral describes it as "long non-coding RNA (PDAC_LNC004494)". Lineage: Eukaryota; Viridiplantae; Streptophyta; Magnoliopsida; Arecales; Arecaceae. The record is from RNAcentral.